RNAcentral lists this long non-coding RNA (1149 nucleotides) under Amborella trichopoda. Its description in RNAcentral is "long non-coding RNA (ATRI_LNC004195)". Lineage: Eukaryota; Viridiplantae; Streptophyta; Magnoliopsida; Amborellales; Amborellaceae. The record is from RNAcentral.
GAAACUAAGAUUGGUUGAGGGAAGCUUUUUGAGCCAAACUUUAUGAAGACCUUGCAUACAUCGUUAUUAUUCCAACAUCAAAGUAGCAUGAGUUAUUUUCAUAAAGGUAGCUUGAGUUAUUUUGAUUGCAUCAUCAGAUCAUGAGGGAUUAAAGAGGAGCCCAAACGAUGUGGGUAUCAAGUAAGAAAUGACAAGCAUAAUUGUGUUGAUCCACCUUUUCGCAUGCGGGGAGGGCUUAAAACCAGUUUGAAAAUGGUUGCCAAUUCUUAGUGUUAGGAUGGCACCCUGCAAUCGCGUCCACCGUGCUUCCAUCUUUCCCUUCCAACUUCACCUGGGGGGAGGGCUUGAAACCAAGUUGAAAUGGUUCCCAAUCCUUGUUUAAAUUGUAUAAUUUGUCUCUCUCUCUAGAAAAUUCUACACUCCUCUCCAUCUUUCCACCGUCAUUCCUUCUCUUUAUAGGUCUUUCUAUUGUCUCCAAUCUAGUAUUCUCUCCACCGUCAUAAACAAACCUAUAAAAAGGGGGUUUGAAGGUGUGUUGUAUCUAUCUAUUCGUGAGAAAGAGAGAGCUUCCCAAGAAGAUGUCCCUAUCCAUUUGUGUAAAGCAGAAAAAGUCUCCCAAGCCCUAUACGUGUGAGAGAGUAGUAAAAGAAAAAGAGAGUUCGAAAUAUACUUUUGCGAAGAAAAGUUCUUGUGGGGAAAAAAGUGAGAGAAAAAGUUAGCAUGGGGGUAAGUUGCAUAGUUAGUGUAUAUUGGGGUUUUUUAAUAAUUUUCCCAAGAGUCUACGAAGUGAGCUUGAAAGUGAAAGAUGGACUACAAUAGAAGCAAUUGCGACUUGCCAUGGCGACCCUAAGGAUUGAGCACCACCUAGGAUUGAGCACCACCUCCAACAUGGGUUAAAGCCCUCCUCGUAGGCAUAAAGGUAGAUCAACACAAUUAUACUUGCCAUUUCUUACCUGAUACCCACACCAUUUGGGCUUCUGUUUAACUUCCCAUGAUCAGAUGAUGCAGUCAAAAUAACUCGUGCCACCUAUAUGUUGGAAUAAAUAAGAAAGAUGUAUGCAGUCAAAAUAACUCGUGCCACCCAUAUGUUGGAAUAAAUAAGAACAAUUUAUGCAGUCAAAAUAACUUGUGCCACCUAUUUGUUGAAAU